Molecule: ribosomal RNA, 404 nt
Filed under: uncultured bacterium
Lineage: Bacteria
Description: bacterial SSU rRNA
Rfam family: Bacterial small subunit ribosomal RNA
Source: RNAcentral
UGGGGAAUAUUGGACAAUGGGGGCAACCCUGAUCCAGCCAUGCCGCGUGAGUGAAGAAGGCCUUAGGGUUGUAAAGCUCUUUCACCCGUGACGAUGAUGACGGUAGCGGGAGAAGAAGCCCCGGCUAAUUCCGUGCCAGCAGCCGCGGUAAUACGGAAGGGGCUAGCGUUGUUCGGAAUUACUGGGCGUAAAGCGCGCGUAGGCGGCCAUGCAAGUGAGGCGUGAAAGGCCUGGGCUCAACCUGGGAACUGCGCUUCAGACUGCACGGCUUGAGUCCGGGAGAGGGUGGUGGAAUUCCCAGUGUAGAGGUGAAAUUCGUAGAUAUUGGGAGGAACACCAGUGGCGAAGGCGGCCACCUGGCCCGGUACUGACGCUCAAGUGCGAAAGCGUGGGGAGCAAACAGG